GGUUCGGACCCGAGGAACCGAGGACCCCAGCAGUGAGUCAGCUGCUCCAGUGUCUGGUCAGAGCUAUCCAAAGGUGAGUGGAAUAACUCAUUACAUUUUAAAGUAAAUAAUGGACAUUUUAGCAUGAUUCACGCAUCAUUAAUACCAUGAGAUAUACUAGGUUGUUUGCAUUAGAGUUCACGAAUAUGUUGCAUUGCAUAUUUUAUUGUUGAUGUGGAUGAACGUUGGAUGAUCCAUAGCCCUCGACCUAUGAUGUGACGAUAUGAUAUGUACGGUAUGGAAAGGAAAGACCAGUGGGACCCAUUCUACGUUCGCUGACACUAUGUAAGAGAAAGACCAGGACCCAUUCUACGUUCUGGCAUAUUGGAAUGUUAUGUUAUGCUAUGUAAGAGAAAGACCAGGACCCAUUCUACGUUCUGGCACUAUUGGAUAUGUAGAGGGCUACUGGUGACAAGGUCAUCCUUGAUGUGAUAUGUUUAUGAUGUGAUGCAUUCCAUGAGAGCAUGAAAUGUUAAUAUAAUGUUUUUAUUAUUCUGCUCACUGAGCUUUAUAGCUCACCCCUCUCCUUUAAACCCCAGGCUUGCAGGUACCGGGUAGACCAGGAGGUCAGCAAGAGUAAUGAAGUCUUGAUUAUGUAAUAGAUAGUGUGGACAUGAAAAAUGUUGAGACGUUAUGUAUAAGUACAGUAUAGAAAUGUAAUGUAAAGAUGUUCAUGGAUGUUAGAAGUGUGC
This 731-nucleotide long non-coding RNA is filed under the name Manihot esculenta (cassava). RNAcentral describes it as "long non-coding RNA (MESC_LNC002279)". Lineage: Eukaryota; Viridiplantae; Streptophyta; Magnoliopsida; Malpighiales; Euphorbiaceae. The record is from RNAcentral.